Molecule: ribosomal RNA, 527 nt
Filed under: uncultured bacterium
Lineage: Bacteria
Description: bacterial SSU rRNA
Rfam family: Bacterial small subunit ribosomal RNA
Source: RNAcentral
AAUAGAUACCCCGGUAGUCCACGCCGUAAACGAUGAGUGCUAAGUGUUGGAGGGUUUCCGCCCUUCAGUGCUGCAGCUAACGCAUUAAGCACUCCGCCUGGGGAGUACGGUCGCAAGACUGAAACUCAAAGGAAUUGACGGGGGCCCGCACAAGCGGUGGAGCAUGUGGUUUAAUUCGAAGCAACGCGAAGAACCUUACCAGGUCUUGACAUCUCCUGACCGCCCUGGAGACAGGGUCUUCCCUUCGGGGACAGGAUGACAGGUGGUGCAUGGUUGUCGUCAGCUCGUGUCGUGAGAUGUUGGGUUAAGUCCCGCAACGAGCGCAACCCUUGAUUCUAGUUGCCAGCAUUUAGUUGGGCACUCUAGAGUGACUGCCGGCGAUAAGUCGGAGGAAGGUGGGGAUGACGUCAAAUCAUCAUGCCCCUUAUGACCUGGGCUACACACGUGCUACAAUGGAUGGUACAAAGGGCUGCGAAACCGCGAGGUUGAGCUAAUCCCAAAAAACCAUUCUCAGUUCGGAUUGCAGG